RNAcentral lists this long non-coding RNA (3636 nucleotides) under Malus domestica (apple). Its description in RNAcentral is "long non-coding RNA (MDOM_LNC006951)". Lineage: Eukaryota; Viridiplantae; Streptophyta; Magnoliopsida; Rosales; Rosaceae. The record is from RNAcentral.
AUCUAGGAUUCUAAUGCUAUGAAUAUGUGUGUGCAUGCCCUUGUCGAAUGAGGACCUACAUAUAUUCUAGAGUAUUACUUGUUAAUUGCGAUUAACAUGUGAACCAAUUUCUAGGAUAAGUAAGACAACGCCAGUACUUACGAUGCCUUGUGAUGACUCAAACUCUUUUCGUUCUUAAUGAUUUCUACUUGUUAAACCUAUGAACACGCCAUUCUAGAUUGCAUGCUAGGGGCUAAGUUAAGUUGAAAACGCCAUUCUCUUGACAUACUACGUAAGAAAGAGUAAUAGGUUGAGUUCUAACAUUGAGCCAACUUGAGCAUCUUCAUCCGGAAAUAAAAGAAAUUUGAAUGAAACAUAACAUGCUUGCAUGAUUAUUUGGUGGUGGAUAGCAAUACCCCUAACUCGUUUUUCUUAAUUUGUGAACUACUUAAAAUUUGUUUCUGUCCUGUUUUUGUUCAAUUUAAUUUAAAUAGCAAAUCAACUUCAAAAAUCCCAAAAAUUUGUAGAAGUGUAGCUCUGUGUGCAGUGUCUUCAUAUAAAAUUUCGUAGAAUUUAGAUAAGUGUAAGUCGGUCUAAUAAUUAUUUUUCGGUGGCUGGUCAGUAAGGACAGCAACCGGUUUUUGGUGACAUUUUAAGUAGUUAGAUAAAACAAUCUUCUGCGGGAAAGACCCUUAUUUUCAUAUGCUACAAUUGACAAAUCUUAGUGUUAAUAAGGAAAAUUAAUAGGACAUUUAUGUGCUACUUUGUAGUGUGCUUUUAAUCCUAUCAAAUUUUUGGCGCCGUGUUGCCGGGGAUUGUUAUUUCUAAUUACUUAUUUCUCUAUUGUUUUAUUUUCUUGUCUAAUUAGUGUUUUUGUUUUGUUUUUGUGUCAGGUACUCUUCGUAGUAUAUGCAUACUCGAAGAUCCAAGAACCAUUUCCCCUUGGAUGAUUACUCUUGGUAUCGUCCGGCUGCGGAUGUAAAAGCAAGCGCUUAUUGGGAGGCAACCCAAUAUUUCUAUUCAUUGUCUUGUUAUGUCAUUUUCAAUUUUCCAUUUGUUUUUGUUUUCUGAAUUUUCUUGCAUGCUAAACUGAUUUAUUUCUUUUCUUUGUAGGAAAAUUUGGUUAUGUCCACCCUUGAAGUUGAUUGUAAAAUUGGAGUUUGGGGGUCAUCACUUGAUUUUACUACAAAUUGGGGAAGUUUUCAGUCCAAAUGCUUUAUUUUGUUUCUUUUAUUUUAUUUUAUUUUUAUUUUAUGCAUUAAUGUGUUUUUUUUUUUUUUGACAUUGGGGACAAUGUCCAGUUUAGGUUUGGGGGUAAGGAUUGAAAAAAUGACCAAAUUGAAAUUUUUUGUACCUUUGACUAAGAACUGGUUUGAUUUGUUUCCGCAUUGUUUCUUUUUGUUUUCUUAAUUAGUUUUGUUUACUUUAAAAAAAUACAAAAAAAAAAACAUUCAGAAAAUUUGAAAAUCCAAAAAUAUUGUCUUAUUUUCUUUAUCGUUUUGAAGUAGAUUUUUGUUAGUUUCCCGACCCAAUGAUAUAAUUGGAUUAAAUUUAAACCACGGUGAUCAAGAACUUAGUAAGCAUGUGUUGUGUGAAAUUCCUUAUUCUCUUGUUAGCCUUGUACAUGUUUAAUCAUCUUUGAAAAACCAAAUGCACAUAGCCUUGUUGAUGUGAAACUAAAGUAUGACUUAAAGCUUCACAUGUGAAUAUAGUGACCAUAUACAACCUAUGUGAGUUUUUGAGCCUAUUAAAAGUGUGUGCAUUUUUCAUACACUCAUAUUCUUUCAUGUGUGAUGAACUUAUGUUAAUUACAUCUCUAGAACUUGCGUAACGAUCUUUUGAAAUGUUUGUCAUUGAUUACAUGAACUUGAAAAGGAUAGAGGCAUUAGGUUUAUCACCAUGGCCCAAAUAAGCAUGUUUCCUAAAGAAAAAUGAUAUUAUUAGAUUGCCAAUUUGAGCCAUAUAUGUUAAGCCUUUUAUUUCUUAUCAUCAGAUAUGUCUACCCUUAUACCUUGAACAUUUUUCCUUACCCUUUCCAAGCUAGCUAGUGAGCAAUGUGAGAUUGUCUUAUGAGUAAUGUUUGUGAAGUACUUUGAAGGAGUUUGGAAAAAGAAUAAGUGUGGGGGUAUUUCAUGUUUGUAUUUAGUUAUGUGCAAAAUUGGUUCCAAAAAAAAAAAAGAAGAAGAAAAAAAAAGAAAAUUGUAUACAAAGAAAAUAAAAAGUUUUUUUUUUUAAGUUUCAGUUUAGGGGUGUGGUUGGAGGUAUUAGUAGAAUGGUUGGAGAGCUUGAGUUCUUGUAAAUCUCAACAAGAGAAUUGCUUGCAAUGUAGCUUGGAACUUGUGUUUACCUAUCCUUUCAUUUCUAUAACCCUCUCCCUAAGCCUCAUUACAACCAAUAAAAGUCCUCUUGAUUUAAGUUUUGCAAUUAUGAUUGUGGAGAUGAGAUCUUUAUACAAGCUUAUGGUAGAUCUUUCACAUUUGAUUCUUUGAGCGAAAUACGUUAAACUAAAUAUAUGUGUGAUUGAGUGUAUGUCCCGUGAGAAGGUCAUUAGUUUGCGUGUGGUGUUUUCAAAAAAAACUUGAAAUUGCAUUAGCAUGGCUAUUACACACACUACACUUCAUGGAUGAUUAAAAGGUUACUGCUAACAUUUGAAUAAGGAAGAUGAGCUUGGAUUAGCUUGUUUGGUGCUAGCUAAGGUUUUUGAUUAUUUGUUUUCUUAAAUGAAAUUCUAUGAGGGUCACAUAGGGGAAUCUAUUGUUUUUCAUGUUGCUACUUUUUCAUAUUUUCUUUGUUUUGCUCGAGGACUAGCAAAAGCUAAGUGUGGGGGUAUUUGAUAAGCUCAUAUUUAUAUAUAUUUUACAUCAAAUUCACUUGUCUUUUCUUAGUUAGUUCCUUAUAUUUUUGAGCUAUUUACUUUGUUUUUGUGUUUUGUGGGAUUUGUCAAGCAAAUAAAAGAAAAAUAGCACAAGUAGGAUUUUUAGUAACAAAUUCGUCAAAACUGCCUGUGCAGAUCAGCUGACUUUGGAAGCAAGUUGCGAACCGCUCCGAAUGAAUUAGAGAAUGAGCCUUAUAUGCUUGGAAAGCUACGGAUGUCUAUUUUCUAGAACAUUUCGUGGAUUGUUAAUAUCAUUUUUCUAGAAGAAGUUAUGGCCGUUUUAAUACUGAAAGGUUUCCAAGACGCUAAGCAGUUUGUAACUGCAUUGAAAGCAAUAAAUCCAAUAAAACUAGCAGCCAAAACUAAUGCAGCCAAGAACAAGUCAGCUGACACCUCUUCAAAUAUCAGAUGAAAUUGAAUUAAAAAUGAGGAUUAAGAGGGAGUAAUUGGCAUAAAGGCUACCUAAAGUGUUACAAUUGUUUUACCACAUUUCCUCUCACUUAUUGUCAUCAUUAAAUGGCUAUUAGUGGGUGAGUUAAGGAGAAGAAAAUGAUGCAGCAAGAAUGGGUUUAAAAGCAGCAUUGGGGAAGGAAGGAAGGGGGGAGGAAGCCUCGGUCGAUUUCUUUCGGUUCUAUCUUCUCAAACUCAUGUGUAUCUUUUGUUUUAACUUAAGGAUUGUGUGUAACUAAAUUUUUAGUAGUUAGGGGCUGUUUUGAAGCCCCAAAUAUGAUUGCAAUUUUGUUAUGACAUUUCGUUGAAUUACUUUUAUGAAUGGAUGAAAA